RNAcentral lists this small RNA (4338 nucleotides) under Pongo abelii (Sumatran orangutan). RNAcentral's name for it is "processed transcript". Lineage: Eukaryota; Metazoa; Chordata; Mammalia; Primates; Hominidae. The record is from RNAcentral.
GUGUUGAGCGGCUUUGAGACUGGGGUAUCUGUCCCCAGAGCUCAGAGCAGAGGUGGGGCAGUAACUCCGUGCCCACGGGCACAGGCGGGGUCACUGACUGAGGAGAAUGGCUCGAGGCUGAGCCGUCCCUCACACGGGGCCAGCGUGGACACUUGGCGUCCUCCCUUCGGUCUUUGCGUGUCUGUUGUUGAGCCCAGUGUGUGUGUUUGUGUGUGUGUGUGUGUGUGUGUGUGUGUGUGUGAGCACAAGAAGCUGGUGCCCGUGUACACACUGCUCUGUGACCUGUUUGCACCCAGCAGCCUGUGUGGGAAAGGAACUGCUGCCUUCAGCCCAUCCCAUCCUUUAUUGCCACUGAGACAGAAACAGCAGAAAUCCAUACAGGGAGAGGACAUCCCUGAUCAGCGACAUCGAUCGAAUUCUUUGACCCGAGUUGAUGGUCAGCCUCGAGGAGCAGCAAUAGCCUGGCCAGAAAAAAAAACCAGGCCUGCGUCCCAGCCAACACCUUUUGCUCUACAUCACGCUGCGAGUUGUGAAGUGGAUCCCAGCUCUGGCGACAGCAUCAGCUUGGCCCGCUCUAUCAGCAAAGACAGUUUGGCAUCCAACAUUGUUAAUCUGACCCCACAGAACCAGCCACACCCCACGGCCACGAAGACCCACGGGAAGAGCCUCCUGAGCAAUGUCAGUAUUGAGGAUGAGGAAGAAGAGCUUGUGGCUAUUGUUAGAGCAGACGUGGCUCCCCAGCAGGCUGACCCGGAGUUCCCCAGGGCCUCACCUCGGGCCUUAGGCCUUAUAGCAAAUGCCCGGUCUCCCCAAGGACAGCUGGACACCUCGGAAAGUAAGCCUGACAGUUUUUUCUUGGAGCCUUUGAUGCCAGCAGUGCUUAAGCCAGCGAAAGAGAAGCAGGUGAUCACCAAGGAGGAUGAACGGGGGGAAGGGAGACCGAGGAGCAUCACGUCCAGGAGGCCUAGCGAGGGCCCCCAGCCUUUGGUACGAAGGAAAAUGACUGGCAGUCGCGACUUGAAUAGGACUUUUACCCCGAUUCCAUGCUCAGAAUUCCCCAUGGGCAUCGACCCCACCGAGACAGGACCGCAGGCAGUGGAAACCGCAGGAGAGGUGUGUGGUGGGCCUCUGGCCCUUGGCGGAUUCGAUCCGUUCCCCCAGGGACCAUCCACGGAUGGCUUCUUCCUUCAUGUAGGCAGGGCCGAUGAAGACACCGAGGGAAGGUUAUAUGUUAGUUGUUCAAAAAGCCCCAACUCCCACGAUUCGGAGCCGUGGACUCUCCUCAGGCAGGAUUCUGACUCGGAUGUGGUGGACAUAGAGGAAGCCGAGCACGAUUUCAUGGGUGAGGCCCAUCCUGUGGUUCUCAGCAGAUACAUUGGGGAGGAAGAGUCGGCCAAACUGCAAGAGGACAUGAAGGUGAAGGAACACGAAGACAAAGAUGACGCCAGCGGCCGCUCGAGCCCCUGCCUGAGCACAGCCUCUCAGAUGAGCAGCGUCUCCAUGGCAAGUGGGAGCGUGAAGAUGACCAGCUUUGCGGAGAGGAAGCUCCAGAGACUCAACAGCUGUGAGACCAAGUCCAGCACCAGCAGUUCCCAGAAGACCACGCCAGAUGCGUCUGAGAGCUGCCCAGCCCCUCUGACGACGUGGAGGCAGAAGAGGGAGCAGAGCCCAAGCCGGCAUGGCAGGGACCCCGCCAGCCUCCUGGCAUCUGAGCUGGUACAGCUGCACAUGCAGCUGGAGGAGAAGCGCAGGGCCAUUGAGGCCCAGAAAAAGAAGAUGGAGGCGCUGUCGGCAAGGCAGCGCCUGAAGCUCGGCAAGGCUGCGUUCCUGCAUGUGGUGAAGAAGGGCAAGGCCGAGGCUUCCCCGCCCCUCAGGCCGGAGCACUUUGCAAAGGAGUACUCUCAGCACAACGGGGAGGACUGUGGGGACGCCGUUUCCAAAACUGAAGACUUUCUCAUGAAGGAGGAGCAGAGAGAGGAGCUCCUUCACGAGCCUCAGGAUGUGGACAAAGAGAGCCUGGCCUUUGCUCAGCAACAUAAAGCAAAAGACCCUGUGGCUCUGCACGAGCUGGAGAGAAAUAAGGUGAUCUCUGCCGCCCUCCUGGAGGACACCGUUGGGGAGGUUGUUGACGUGAAUGAAUGUGACCUUUCCAUCGAGAAGCUCAACGAAACCAUCAGUACCCUGCAGCAGGCCAUCCUGAAAAUCUCUCAGCAGCAGGAGCAGCUUCUCAUGAAGUCCCCCACAGUCCCAGUGCCGGGCUCUAGGAAUAACUCGCAGGACCACAAAGUGAAGGCGCCAGUCCACUUCGUGGAGCCACUCUCCCCCACGGGCGUGGCUGGCCACCGCAAAGCCCCCCGGCUGGGUCAAGGCCGGAAUUCCCGUUCUGGAAGGCCGGCGGAGCUGAAGGUCCCGAAAGACAGGCCACAGGGCUCCUCCCGAAGUAAAACCCCAACGCCCAGUGUGGAGACGCUCCCGCACUUGAGACCCUUCCCUGCCAGCAGCCACCCUUGGACGCCCACGGACCCUGGCCUGGACGGUGCCCUGGAGCCCAGUGGUGACCCACAUGGGAAGUGUCUCUUCGACAGUUACAGGCUCCACGAUGAAAGCAAUCAGCGGACACUUACUCUGUCCUCUUCCAAAGAUGCCAACAUUCUUUUGGAGCAGAUGAGCCUCAAAGAGGUUCUGGAUGCGACUGUGAAGGAGGUGGGGCCCAGCUCCUCAGAUGUCUCAGGAAAAGAGAGCAUCCCUGUGGAGGAGCCUCUGAGGAGCAGGGCCAGCCUCAUUGAAGUGGACCUCUCUGACCUGAAGGCCCCUGACGAGGAUGGGGAGCUGGCAAGCCUCGAUGGCUCGGCGGACCUUGUCAGCGAAGGCGACCAGAAGCCGGGGGUUGGCUUCUUCUUCAAGGAUGAACAGAAGGCGGAAGAUGAGCUCGCCAAGAAGCGGGCGGCCUUCCUCCUGAAGCAGCAGCGCAAGGCCGAGGAGGCCCGCGUGCGCAAGCAGCAGCUGGAAGCGGAGGUGGAGCUCAAGCGUGACGAAGCCCGGCGCAAAGCUGAGGAAGACCGGGUGCGGAAGGAGGAGGAGAAGGCGCGGCGCGAGCUCAUCAAGCAGGAGUACCUGCGGAGGAAGCAGCAGCAGAUCCUAGAGGAGCAGGGGCUCGGCAAGCCCAAGUCAAAGCCGAAGAAGCCGCGGCCGAAGUCGGUGCACCGGGAAGAGUCGUGCAGCGACUCUGGCACCAAGUGCUCCUCCACCCCUGAUAACUUGAGCCGGACUCAGUCAGGCUCCAGCCUGUCCUUGGCCUCUGCGGCGACGACAGAACCCGAGAGCGUUCACUCUGGGGGCACACCCUCUCAGCGAGUGGAAUCGAUGGAAGCCCUGCCCAUACUGAGCCGUAACGCGAGCAGGAGCACAGACCGAGACUGGGAGACCGCGUCGGCGGCAUCUUCCCUGGCCUCAGUGGCUGAGUACACAGGUCCCAAGCUCUUUAAGGAGCCCAGUAGUAAAUCAAACAAACCGAUUAUUCACAAUGCCAUAUCCCAUUGCUGCCUGGCUGGAAAAGUGAAUGAACCCCACAAGAAUUCCAUAUUGGAGGAGCUGGAGAAGUGUGAUGCCAAUCACUACAUCAUACUGUUCCGUGAUGCUGGCUGCCAGUUCAGGGCGCUUUACUGCUACUAUCCUGACACUGAGGAAAUCUACAAACUCACUGGCACGGGGCCAAAGAGCAUCACCAAGAAAAUGAUCGACAAGCUGUAUAAAUACAGCUCAGACCGAAAACAGUUUAACUUGAUCCCAGCCAAAACCAUGUCUGUCAGUGUGGACGCACUCACAAUCCACAACCACCUGUGGCAGCCCAAGCGGCCCGCAGUGCCAAAGAAGGCCCAGACUCGUAAAUGACCCCGGUGCAGCCGGCGUCCGAAGGGUGACCCAGACUCGUAAAUGACGCCCUUGUGGCCGGCAUCCAGAGGGUGCCACGAGGUCCUUAUUUAUUGUUUUCAUCUGUUUGGGUACGAAGUGUGCAAAGUCACAGACCUUUUGCAAAGAGGUUUCUAGACAGCAGAAGAAAACCCCUCUCUCAGCGCUCAUCUCACGCAGAGGAUGCCAGGCAGGGAAAAUACCAGUUCACUGAAAUCUGCACAGUCUGUCUUCCGCUAAAAUAACGUUUACAAAUGUGAAGGUGAUGAUUUCUGGCACGCAGUCAUGAGGAUGGGGAAUGGCACUAGGAGCUGAUGUUUGCCUCAUUUAAAGUAGGCAAGCUGAGCCAACUGCAGCCAUCAUUAGUUAAGUUUUGGAUAGUGCUCUGAUUUGUUCACUUUAAUAAAGACAGAUUUUGGUAAAGUAGAA